AGAUCAAUUUGUUGGUCGUGCCUCGGUACGUACUGGCAAUUUUGGUUUCUCCCUUCUGAAGAACCAUGAUGUCAUUAAUUUGGUGUCUUGGGGAAUCAGGACUGUUACUUUGAGAAAAUUAGAGUGUUUAAAGCAGGCAUACGCUUGAAUACAUUAGCAUGGAAUAAUGAAAUAGGACGUUUGAUUCUAUUUUGUUGGUUUCUAGGAUUGACGUAAUGAUUAAUAGGGAUAGUUGGGC
RNAcentral lists this ribosomal RNA (238 nucleotides) under uncultured Glomeromycotina. RNAcentral's name for it is "partial 18S ribosomal RNA". The stretch from base 46 to 238 matches the Rfam family "Eukaryotic small subunit ribosomal RNA", at positions 693 to 887 of the family's 1831-position model. Lineage: Eukaryota; Fungi; Glomeromycota. The record is from RNAcentral.